Molecule: ribosomal RNA, 465 nt
Filed under: Vreelandella stevensii
Lineage: Bacteria; Pseudomonadati; Pseudomonadota; Gammaproteobacteria; Oceanospirillales; Halomonadaceae
Description: partial 16S ribosomal RNA
Rfam family: Bacterial small subunit ribosomal RNA
Source: RNAcentral
CCUACGGGGGGCUGUAGUGGGGAAUAUUGGACAAUGGGGGGAACCCUGAUCCAGCCAUGCCGCGUGUGUGAAGAAGGCCCUCGGGUUGUAAAGCACUUUCAGUGAGGAAGAACGCCUGGUGGUUAAUACCCAUCAGGAAAGACAUCACUCACAGAAGAAGCACCGGCUAACUCCGUGCCAGCAGCCGCGGUAAUACGGAGGGUGCGAGCGUUAAUCGGAAUUACUGGGCGUAAAGCGCGCGUAGGUGGCUUGAUAAGCCGGUUGUGAAAGCCCCGGGCUCAACCUGGGAACGGCAUCCGGAACUGUCAAGCUAGAGUGCAGGAGAGGAAGGUAGAAUUCCCGGUGUAGCGGUGAAAUGCGUAGAGAUCGGGAGGAAUACCAGUGGCGAAGGCGGCCUUCUGGACUGACACUGACACUGAGGUGCGAAAGCGUGGGUAGCAAACAGGAUUAGAUACCCGUGUAGUC